Molecule: ribosomal RNA, 202 nt
Filed under: uncultured bacterium
Lineage: Bacteria
Description: partial 16S ribosomal RNA
Rfam family: Bacterial small subunit ribosomal RNA
Source: RNAcentral
ACGGGGGGCCUACGGGAGGCAGCAGUAGGGAAUCAUCCGCAAAGGGCGAAAGCCUGACCGAGCAACGCCGCGUGAGUGAUGAAGGGUUUCGGCUCGUAAAACUCUGUUAUUAGGGAAGAACAAAUGUGUAAGAAACUGUGCACAUCUUGACGGUCCCUAAUCAGAAAGCCACGGCUAACUACGUGCCAGCAGCCGCGGUAAU